RNAcentral lists this ribosomal RNA (598 nucleotides) under Russula sp. YM2632. RNAcentral's name for it is "eukaryotic LSU rRNA". The stretch from base 229 to 382 matches the Rfam family "5.8S ribosomal RNA". Lineage: Eukaryota; Fungi; Basidiomycota; Agaricomycetes; Russulales; Russulaceae. The record is from RNAcentral.
CGUAGGUGAACCUGCGGAAGGAUCAUUAUCGUAAAACCGAGGUGCGAGGGCUGUCGCUGACCCUUUUCGGUCGUGCACGCCCGAGCGCUCUCACACAAUCCAUCUCACCCCUUGUGCACCACCGCGUGGGUUUCCUUUUUGGCUCUGUCCGGAAGGGGGGCUCGCGUUUUCACACAAACUUUGAAGUAGUGUAGAAUGUCAUUUUUUGCGAUAACACGCAAUCAAUACAACUUUCAACAACGGAUCUCUUGGCUCUCGCAUCGAUGAAGAACGCAGCGAAAUGCGAUACGUAAUGUGAAUUGCAGAAUUCAGUGAAUCAUCGAAUCUUUGAACGCACCUUGCGCCCCUUGGCAUUCCGAGGGGCACACCCGUUUGAGUGUCGUGAAAUUCUCAAAACCCAUUUCUUUUGGUCAUUUUUGACCAUGGAAAGGAUUUUGGACUUGGAGGCCUUUUGCUGGUUUCACCUUGAAGCGAGCUCCUCCCAAAUGUAUUAGUGGGGUCCGCAUCGUCGGUCCUUGGCGUGAUAAGUCGUUUCUACGUCUUGGAUCUUUGGCGCUGUACACCUGCUUCUAACCGUCUCAUUGACAACGAUGGUGUU